Molecule: small nucleolar RNA, 87 nt
Filed under: Podospora anserina S mat+
Lineage: Eukaryota; Fungi; Ascomycota; Sordariomycetes; Sordariales; Podosporaceae
Description: Small nucleolar RNA snR73
Rfam family: Small nucleolar RNA snR73
Source: Rfam by way of RNAcentral
UUUUAUGAUGAUUUAAAAUAUUAUCACGACGGUCUACAUAGCAAUCGCUUUGAUGAAAUGGCCAGUGACAUGGCAAGAUUUCUGAUA